RNAcentral lists this small RNA (60 nucleotides) under bovine gut metagenome. RNAcentral's name for it is "cow-rumen-1 RNA". It matches the Rfam family "cow-rumen-1 RNA". Rfam says of the family: cow rumen metagenome. Environment (Cow rumen (57)) The record is from RNAcentral.
UCACUGGUCUCCGCGUAAAAGUUUGACGGAGUAAAUCCAGCACCGGACAUGACGAAGAGG